Molecule: long non-coding RNA, 403 nt
Organism: Mytilus trossulus (common blue mussel)
Lineage: Eukaryota; Metazoa; Mollusca; Bivalvia; Mytilida; Mytilidae
Exons: 2
Source: RefSeq, a predicted model, not a curated record
GAUGAAUGUCGACUACGGUACAAUUCACGACAUCAAUUAAUAAUCAUGUUGACAUGUUCAUUUAUUUCUGUUUCGUAAAGUAUUUAAUUCAGUUAAUGUAAGAAAUUUCAUCAUAAUUUACAUAGGGAUUGUUUGAAAUUUUAAAAUUGAACAGAAAGGUAUGAAACGUCUACUGUUUCUGUCGUUGAUAUUUGCGACUACUUAUAUUCUGACUGUUCAUGGACAAGGCGGGAAUCCUGGUGCCCCACCUGGAGGUCCUGGUGCUCCCGGUGCUGGAGGAAAUGACGGGGGUGGUGAACCAUGCUACUGCUGCUGUAAUCCAUCUUCAACUGAACCCUCGUGCUGUUACCCGGAUUGUUGUUUGUAGAAAGUAUGAUUAAAAUUAUUUUUUGUCUCUGUAGUA